UACGGAGGGGGCUAGCGUUGUUCGGAAUUACUGGGCGUAAAGCGCACGUAGGCGGCUUUGCAAGUCAGAGGUGAAAGCCCGGGGCUCAACCCCGGAAUUGCCUUUGAGACUGCAUCGCUAGAAUUGUGGAGAGGUAAGUGGAAUUCCGAGUGUAGAGGUGAAAUUCGUAGAUAUCAAGAGGAACACCGGUGGCGAAGGCGACUUACUGGUCCAUGACUGACGCUGAGGCUCGAAAGCGUGGGGAGCAAACAGG
This 253-nucleotide ribosomal RNA is filed under the name uncultured bacterium. Its description in RNAcentral is "partial 16S ribosomal RNA". It matches the Rfam family "Bacterial small subunit ribosomal RNA", at positions 524 to 776 of the family's 1533-position model. The record is from RNAcentral.